This 71-nucleotide transfer RNA is filed under the name Clonostachys rosea f. rosea IK726. It matches the Rfam family "tRNA". Rfam says of the family: Transfer RNA (tRNA) molecules are approximately 80 nucleotides in length. Their secondary structure includes four short double-helical elements and three loops (D, anti-codon, and T loops). Further hydrogen bonds mediate the characteristic L-shaped molecular structure. tRNAs have two regions of fundamental functional importance: the anti-codon, which is responsible for specific mRNA codon recognition, and the 3' end, to which the tRNAs corresponding amino acid is attached (by aminoacyl-tRNA synthetases). tRNAs cope with the degeneracy of the genetic code in two manners: having more than one tRNA (with a specific anti-codon) for a particular amino acid; and 'wobble' base-pairing, i.e. permitting non-standard base-pairing at the 3rd anti-codon position. Lineage: Eukaryota; Fungi; Ascomycota; Sordariomycetes; Hypocreales; Bionectriaceae. The record is from RNAcentral.
AGGAUAGUAGUCAAGUGGUAAGACAUAACUCUUCGAUGUUAGUAUCGCAGGUUCGAAUCCUGUCUAGUCUA